Capsella rubella is the source of this 449-nucleotide long non-coding RNA. RefSeq lists it as uncharacterized. The transcript is spliced from 2 exons. NCBI's taxonomy places the organism in Eukaryota, Viridiplantae, Streptophyta, Magnoliopsida, Brassicales, Brassicaceae. The record is from RefSeq and is a predicted model, not a curated record.
UUAACCACGAAACUCAAAACAAACUUUUGCUGUAAAGGUUUCACAAACACCAAACAAGAGAAAAAAAAAAUCAUUAUGAAGGCCUCAACAUUCUUCAUUGCUUUUUUGGUUAUUGUAUCAUGUGUUGCAAUGAUAGAAAGCAAAGAUUGUGAAACAAACGACGAUUGCAAAGACUGGCAACCAUGUCCAGUGCCUCUCGCUUGUGUAUUUGGCAACUGCGUUUGUCCAUGGAAAAAUCAAUCUAAAAUUUUCGUUGCUCCUUGUCCAAUCUUUUGUAAACGUAUGGGGGAAAGAGCUUUAAACUAUUGGCCUCCUUGCGUUUGCACCAAAGAUUAAAUCAAGAACUAUAUGUAACGUUGCAAUAAUGAGAUUUGUAAAACCUAUAAUAUAUUAAUUAUGAAAAUCUAUUCUCGUUUCUUUUAUAAAAAAUCUCAUAUCAAUUUUUUUUU